GGAUGGACGUCUAAAAGGUGGUGGGGGUGGGGGGUAGAAAACAUGCAUCUCUAUGUUCCACGAGAGUCAAGAAUUCAGCAUAACUCAGAUCUUGUGGCCGAUAUGUGAGGAAACCUAGGCCUCUCUUUACACAUACAUCAUAAAUCUGAGACAAUUAGGGAGGAGGAAAAUGGGUGAGCUCAUUUGUUUUUGUUCGGGGUCCUGGAUGCUGAGGGGUCAGGGGCUCGCGCUGUCAAGUGAACUGUGGAUGGCUGCUGUCGAAGGAGAAUAAAUCAAAUCCAACAGACAGGCCUCGACAAAAGUGCUAUUUGAAAAGGCCCAAAACAUUGGCUCGGAUGUCUGCGAGCCGAGGGGUCCCGCGGAUCUGCAGGGCAAAAGAAACUCAACCAUUGCUGUCGAAACUAGGAAAACCACUGUUUUCCAUCCAUAUGAAAAUCCCAAGUCCAAAUCAAUCCCCGAUGCAACGCCUGUAAUGAAAACCACGAAGACAAAAGCAGCGACUGGACACCAUGUUGUGCUUUUAAACGUGUUCUCCUUUGGCUCCAAGCAGCAGUGACAG
Molecule: long non-coding RNA, 559 nt
Filed under: Betta splendens (Siamese fighting fish)
Lineage: Eukaryota; Metazoa; Chordata; Actinopteri; Anabantiformes; Osphronemidae
Description: lncRNA (ENSBSLG00000012307.1)
Source: RNAcentral